This is a non-coding RNA of Oryza glumipatula, 198 nucleotides long. The record is from Rfam. NCBI's taxonomy places the organism in Eukaryota, Viridiplantae, Streptophyta, Magnoliopsida, Poales, Poaceae.
AAAAAGACAAACUGUGACUUCCCGUGCCAACGUUUGACUGUUCGUCUUAUAUGAAAUUUUUUUAUAAUUAGUAUUUUCAUUGUUAGAUGAUAAAAUAUGAUUAAUACUUUAUACGUGACUUAUCUUUUUAUUUUUUUUCCAUAAUUUUUUUAAAUAAGACAGACGAUGUUGGACACGGAAAUCAGGGUUUGUCUUUUU